RNAcentral lists this ribosomal RNA (253 nucleotides) under uncultured bacterium. Its description in RNAcentral is "partial 16S ribosomal RNA". It matches the Rfam family "Bacterial small subunit ribosomal RNA", at positions 524 to 776 of the family's 1533-position model. The record is from RNAcentral.
UACGAAGGAUCCAAGCGUUGUCCGGAUUUACUGGGUUUAAAGGGAGCGUAGGUGGACGAAUAAGUCAGUGGUGAAAGCCUGCAGCUUAACUGUAGAAUUGCCAUUGAAACUGCUCGUCUCGAAUAUGGUUGAGGUGGUUGGAAUGUAUCAUGUAGCGGUGAAAUGCUUAGAUAUGAUACAGAACACCGAUUGCGAAGGCAGAUCACUAAACCAUUAUUGACACUGAGGCUCGAAAGCGUGGGGAUCAAACAGG